Molecule: ribosomal RNA, 506 nt
Filed under: uncultured bacterium
Lineage: Bacteria
Description: partial 16S ribosomal RNA
Rfam family: Bacterial small subunit ribosomal RNA
Source: RNAcentral
AGUGAACGCUGGGGGUAGGCCUAACACAUGCAGGUCGAACGGCAGCACAGGAGAGCUUGCUCUCUGGGUGGCGAGUGGCGGACGGGUGAGGAAUACAUCGGAAUCUACUCUGUCGUGGGGGAUAACGUAGGGAAACUUACGCUAAUACCGCAUACGACCUACGGGUGAAAGCAGGGGACCUUCGGGCCUUGCGCGAUUGAAUGAGCCGAUGUCGGAUUAGCUAGUUGGCGGGGUAAAGGCCCACCAAGGCGACGAUCCGUAGCUGGUCUGAGAGGAUGAGCAGCCACACUGGAACUGAGACACGGUCCAGACUCCUACGGGAGGCAGCAGUGGGGAAUAUUGGACAAUGGGCGCAAGCCUGAUCCAGCCAUACCGCGUGGGUGAAGAAGGCCUUCGGGUUGUAAAGCCCUUUUGUUGGGAAAGAAAUCCAGCUGGCUAAUACCCGGUUGGGAUGACGGUACCCAAAGAAUAAGCACCGGCUAACUUCGUGCCAGCCGCCGCCGUAA